CUAAAAUCACAACUGAACAAGAUACAGAUGCAGAACACAAGAAACCAGGAAUGUUGCAAACACAAGGAUCUUAAACAAAAGUCAGAUAACUUUCUACAAGCGCCAGCUAAUAUACAAGCCUCUAAAUCACCGUGCAAGACUAGGAUCCAGUGGGCUGAGUUCUUCUUCUCCUUUUCUUCUUGUAAGUAUUAUUGGUGGUUGGCAAGUGGGCUGAGUUGACAAGUAGCUGGGGAGUUACCAAUGGUGGAAAUGGGGGGAAAUGAACCUAAACCAGACACCAAAAAGAUGUCUGAUGAAAUGAAUAGUAAAGACAUUUACUAGACUAUAACUGAACAUGGCCCGGAGCAGGGUUUGUUUAGGAGCAGGAGUCUGCCACAAGGAAACUGAAAAUAAUCUUUUUAUACUUCACAUAAAUGUAUUCAAACGCUAGAAGGCAACUGUAAGGCUGAGGUGGAUUUAGAUGAUUGUGACAAGUUUCACAUGCUGAAAUCCACACCUGUGAUAAUGGCCCAGAAAUGCAAGCUGAGGAACAGAACCUCCUUGCUAGGUUGAAAGGGGAGUUGAGACAGCAGGCCAGAUAACACUUCGUAAUAUUGUUUUAACUAUCAAAUGUCUUGCAAGUCUUACAGUUACAUUUUUCCCCCUUUCCAUAAGAUGAAUUUAAAUUGUCACUCAUGACUAGACGGAACAUCUGGCUACAGCUUAAACAUUUUAUUAAAAAAAAAAAAACAACCCCAAACCCUCUUAGUCUGAAUAUGAACUGAAAAUUGUUGUCUGUCAGUUGCUUAUAUAAGUAUUAUUUAUUGUAAAAUGAUCCAUAUUCUGACAACAAUAUAGUACAAAUGGAAAUCUAAACCCCGCAAGAUUAAGGACUCAGAUAUUACCAUUAUUUUUCAUAUUUCUUUCCAUCUGCACUCUUUGCAUUUUGCUGCUGUCUAGCAGGAGAGAUUCCAGGUGUGAGGAGCUGCUAAGACAAUGGAAUGAGGGGUGCAACAUGAGUGUUUUCAAGAACUGCUGAAAAUGCAUAAGACCUGGAAACAACAGUGAGACAGUUUAUAAAAACCAUCACCUUCCAUGGUCUGGUAGGAAACUGACCUGGCAAAGACAGAUCCAGACCGAUUGUUUAAAAAUUUGGCCACAAAAACCUGGUAAAAAAAAAAAAAAGAAAAAAAAGAAAAAGAAGCUGAGAGAAACAGACUUUAAUGCCAGGUGAUAACUACCAGUUUCCCAAUGAAACCUUAGAGAUGCUAGAUCCUGUUCCUGAUCUGCAAAACUGUCCCACAAGGAGCCUCCUGAGCUGUAACCCCGAUCAGUAAGCUUUACAUCAACACAAUAUGGCUGUCCGAAGUCAGGUGAUCUGUAUCCACACUAGUACCUUUUUUCCUGAUUUUCUCAUGGAUGAAUUAGUCCCGUUUAAAUAGUAUAGUUUGUUGUUUUUUUUCCUCUUCUUGUUUUAUUUUAGGUCACUCUGGAAUGGUUCCUAGGUUUCAUUUCACUUGUCAUCUCUUUUCGCCUUUCAGCACUCAGCGUU
This is a long non-coding RNA of Astatotilapia calliptera (eastern happy), 1531 nucleotides long. NCBI's taxonomy places the organism in Eukaryota, Metazoa, Chordata, Actinopteri, Cichliformes, Cichlidae. The record is from Ensembl.